RNAcentral lists this ribosomal RNA (761 nucleotides) under Prevotella melaninogenica. RNAcentral's name for it is "bacterial SSU rRNA". It matches the Rfam family "Bacterial small subunit ribosomal RNA", at positions 28 to 776 of the family's 1533-position model. The record is from RNAcentral. Lineage: Bacteria; Pseudomonadati; Bacteroidota; Bacteroidia; Bacteroidales; Prevotellaceae.
GAUGAACGCUAACUACAGGCUUAACACAUGCAAGUCGAGGGGAAACGGCAUUGAGUGCUUGCACUCUUUGGACGUCGACCGGCGCACGGGUGAGUAACGCGUAUCCAACCUUCCCAUUACUGUGGGAUAACCUGCCGAAAGGCAGACUAAUACCGCAUAGUCUUCGAUGACGGCAUCAGAUUUGAAGUAAAGAUUUAUCGGUAAUGGAUGGGGAUGCGUCUGAUUAGCUUGUUGGCGGGGUAACGGCCCACCAAGGCUACGAUCAGUAGGGGUUCUGAGAGGAAGGUCCCCCACAUUGGAACUGAGACACGGUCCAAACUCCUACGGGAGGCAGCAGUGAGGAAUAUUGGUCAAUGGACGGAAGUCUGAACCAGCCAAGUAGCGUGCAGGAUGACGGCCCUAUGGGUUGUAAACUGCUUUUGUAUGGGGAUAAAGUUAGGGACGUGUCCCUAUUUGCAGGUACCAUACGAAUAAGGACCGGCUAAUUCCGUGCCAGCAGCCGCGGUAAUACGGAAGGUCCAGGCGUUAUCCGGAUUUAUUGGGUUUAAAGGGAGCGUAGGCUGGAGAUUAAGUGUGUUGUGAAAUGUAGACGCUCAACGUCUGACUUGCAGCGCAUACUGGUUUCCUUGAGUACGCACAACGUUGGCGGAAUUCGUCGUGUAGCGGUGAAAUGCUUAGAUAUGACGAAGAACUCCGAUUGCGAAGGCAGCUGACGGGAGCGCAACUGACGCUUAAGCUCGAAGGUGCGGGUAUCAAACAGG